RNAcentral lists this non-coding RNA (30 nucleotides) under Homo sapiens (human). Lineage: Eukaryota; Metazoa; Chordata; Mammalia; Primates; Hominidae. The record is from RNAcentral.
UGAAAAUCAGCAACGUGGUGGCCUAUUUGU